GAGAACUAACAUCUUGAUGAGUCGAAUGAUAGGGUAACGCCUAAAAAGGCUCCUUUAAUACUCCGAUGGGCGUGUAUAUGUAUAAGCGUCGAAGCGUCUAGAGCUCGGUGAAGUCGCGUGACCCUGCCCUUUUGGAAUUAAAAACCUUUUGGAAACCUGUUCAGAGGUGAACAGUGCGGGUUUAGCGCGGAAGUCUAAAAA
Molecule: non-coding RNA, 201 nt
Organism: Dehalobacter sp. CF
Lineage: Bacteria; Bacillati; Bacillota; Clostridia; Eubacteriales; Desulfitobacteriaceae
Source: Rfam